GUAGGUGGCAAGCGUUGUCCGGAUUUACUGGGCGUAAAGAGCGCGCAGGCGGUCGAUUUAGUCGUGUGUGAAAGCCCCCGGCUCAACUGGGGAGGGUCACGCGAUACUGAUCGACUCGAAGGCAGGAGAGGGUAGUGGAAUUCCCGGUGUAGUGGUGAAAUGCGUAGAUAUCGGGAGGAACACCAGUGGCGAAGGCGACUACCUGGCCUGUUCUUGACGCUGAGGCGCGAAAGCUAGGGGAGCAAACGGGAUUAGAUACCCCGGUAGUCCUAGCCGUAAACGAUGGACACUAGGUGUUGGUGGUAUCAACCCCGCCAGUGCGGAAGCUAACGCAUUAAGUGUCCCGCCUGGGGAGUACGGCCGCAAGGCUA
Molecule: ribosomal RNA, 371 nt
Filed under: uncultured bacterium
Lineage: Bacteria
Description: bacterial SSU rRNA
Rfam family: Bacterial small subunit ribosomal RNA
Source: RNAcentral